UACAGAGGGUGCGAGCGUCAAUCGGAAUUACUGGGCGUAAAGGGUGCGUAGGUGGUUACAUAAGUUAGGUGUGAAAGUCCUGGGCUUAACCUGGGGACUGCGCCUAAUACUGUGUAGCUAGAGUACUGUAGAGGAAGGUGGAAUUUCCGGUGUAGCAGUGAAAUGCGUAGAUAUCGGAAGGAACAUCAGUGGCGAAGGCGACUCUCUGGACAGAUACUGACACUGAGGCACGAAAGCGUGGGGAGCAAACAGG
Molecule: ribosomal RNA, 253 nt
Filed under: uncultured bacterium
Lineage: Bacteria
Description: partial 16S ribosomal RNA
Rfam family: Bacterial small subunit ribosomal RNA
Source: RNAcentral